AUGCCCCAUGAAAAGGGAGGUUUCCUCUCUGGUAUCCUUAAAAAAACAAAAAAAUCACCUGAUGAGACGUCAACACAAGAGAAUCUGAGUUCUCACAGUGAGCUUUCUGCCAGCAGCGACAGCCUUUCUGAAAACAAGGUGAGGUCCAGUAGCUGCUGUAGUGGCAGCAGAGAUAAUGUUAUCUGGAAUUACAGUGUACACAUACAGCUCAAUGGUAAAUUUACCUGCAAAAUUACUUGUCUGACUUUAGAAUAA
This 255-nucleotide long non-coding RNA is filed under the name Oreochromis niloticus (Nile tilapia). RNAcentral describes it as "lncRNA (ENSONIG00000036277.1)". Lineage: Eukaryota; Metazoa; Chordata; Actinopteri; Cichliformes; Cichlidae. The record is from RNAcentral.